This 1877-nucleotide long non-coding RNA is filed under the name Homo sapiens (human). RNAcentral's name for it is "long intergenic non-protein coding RNA 2955". The record is from RNAcentral. Lineage: Eukaryota; Metazoa; Chordata; Mammalia; Primates; Hominidae.
ACUCUGGACUCCUACGGACCAAGAUGAUCAACUCUGAGGAAGAAAGGCAAUGAGGACGUUGCACAAGACAGUCCCUGAUACCCAGAGUUUACUGCCUAAGAGAGGAUACAUCCUUCAAACCAAUAAUCUGCUAAUAGCAAGAUCCAAUAGCUUCAUGGAUAUUGAAAGAAACUGAGAAUCAAAUUUGCAUACUUCUGAGUCACUUGGAAACAAAAAACAAGUACAGUCUUAGAUUCUGAGGGAACAAAAAUUAAAAAUCACAUUAGGAAGAGAAUUCCUAAUGUAGGAACUCAUCCUGGAAGAUUCUUCAGCAAAAGUACAGACAAUAAUAAUAAUACUCCAUGAAGUUACCAUCGAUAUUGAAUGAAUUAAUGAAUGUAAAAACCUCAAAACCCUGCCUGGCCCAGAGCUUUGGAAUGGGUUUGGAUCUACCACUCAACUGCUUUAUGACUUCAGACCAGUUAUUUAAAUUCCCUGAAGCUCAGUUUCCACAUCUUUGAGUGCAGCCCGGAGAGCUGUGAGCAGUGCCACAGGAGGAGAUGACUGGUGAGUGAAAUAAGCAAGAUAGGAGUUGAAGUGUACAUGAAGCAGAGUCCAAGCCUUCUCCUUCUGGAUGUUCAGCUGGAUCAUCCUGACUGCUCCCACUUUCAUCUUGGCUUUCAAAGGCAAGAGGAAAUUAUAAGGAAUAUUCUGAGUGGCUUUCAUCCAGGAGUUCUGUGGGACCCGCAACACCUGGAUGGUAGAUGCAAACAGAUAAAGAAUAUUGGUCACCAAAAGGAGUUCUUUUCAUCAUAGAUCUCUGAAGGUAGACACCUAUUUGCAGACUUCUCAAAGGGCUAUAUGGAUGUGCUCUACUUGUUGGAGGAUUGUCCAUCCACUCUUCUUCCUGUACUUACCAGGACAGAACAGCCGCAACUUCUCAGACAGUUCAUUCUUCUUUUCCUCACCUACUACCAUCUAAGAAAGGUACUUGAUGACUGUGGCUUUAGACAAGAGUCCUUUUCUUACCACAGGGUGGGCAGCACCAGCUCAUUAGAACCAUUUGUGUGACUGACUGAAGACAGCUCACCUUGGAACACUGCAGGUUGAAGAUCAUCUCUUCUUUUUUUCAUGGUGUUAAGCAUAAUAUGGCGUAAGUGACAUUUUACAAGUUCCAGAGCCUGGGACUCAAGAUGUCUUGGAGAUUCUGUCUUUGCAGUCUUAUAAUGAUGCCCUGAGAUCAUCAUUAAAGAAAGCCAGUCUGGCCUACUGAGGAUGAGAAGCUACAUAAAGGAGAAUGAAGAUUCCCCAGCCAACAGGCAAUAUCAGUGGUCAGAUAUGUGAAUAAAGCCAUGUUGAACCUCUCGGCUAGACGACCCUCCAGCAUAUGAAACCAGCAGAUGAAUAUCCCAGCCUGCCUGAAGAACUGUACAGGAAAUAAGAAAUCAUUGUUUUUUAAGCCACUGGGUUGGUGGGUGGUUUGUUACAUUGAAAUUGUUAACUAAAACAGAAAUUGGUGCAUAGAGGUCAGGUGCUGUCAUAAUAAAAAUCUAAAACAUAUACUGUUGGCUUUGGUGAUGGGAGUGAUUGGUAGCUAAAGAGGCAGUGAAACAAUGAUUAGUAGAUACUGGGAAGUUAAUAAGGAAAUUUCUAUUGGAGGGUGGAGAAAGGGCCACCCUUGUUAUAUAGUGGCCAAAGAAUCAGCAAAAUGUUGCCUGCUGCAACCUGGAAAGUAGAAACUUUUCUUAAACUCACGGAUCUGGCUGGGAGAUUUCCAGGAUGCAUGCAACAAAUGUGAAUCAACUUUGUAUAGCUGUGUAUAAUAAAGUGUGCUGUAUUUGUCCAUUCUGAUGCUGCUAAUAAAGACAUACCUGAGACUGAAUAAUUUAUAAAGGAAA